GAUUAAGUUAUUAAGGGCGCACGGUGGAUGCCUUGGCACUAGAAGCCGAUGAAGGACGUUACUAACGACGAUAUGCUUUGGGGAGCUGUAAGUAAGCUUUGAUCCAGAGAUUUCCGAAUGGGGAAACCCAGCAUGAGUUAUGUCAUGUUAUCGAUAUGUGAAUACAUAGCAUAUCAGAAGGCACACCCGGAGAACUGAAACAUCUUAGUACCCGGAGGAAGAGAAAGAAAAUUCGAUUCCCUUAGUAGCGGCGAGCGAAACGGGAAGAGCCCAAACCAACAAGCUUGCUUGUUGGGGUUGUAGGACACUCUAUACGGAGUUACAAAGGACGACAUUAGACGAAUCAUCUGGAAAGAUGAAUCAAAGAAGGUAAUAAUCCUGUAGUCGAAAAUGUUGUCUCUCUUGAGUGGAUCCUGAGUACGACGGAGCACGUGAAAUUCCGUCGGAAUCUGGGAGGACCAUCUCCUAAGGCUAAAUACUCUCUAGUGACCGAUAGUGAACCAGUACCGUGAGGGAAAGGUGAAAAGCACCCCGGAAGGGGAGUGAAAUAGAACCUGAAACCGUGUGCUUACAAGUAGUCAGAGCCCGUUAAUGGGUGAUGGCGUGCCUUUUGUAGAAUGAACCGGCGAGUUACGAUUUGAUGCAAGGUUAAGCAGUAAAUGUGGAGCCGUAGCGAAAGCGAGUCUGAAUAGGGCGUUUAGUAUUUGGUCGUAGACCCGAAACCAGGUGAUCUACCCUUGGUCAGGUUGAAGUUCAGGUAACACUGAAUGGAGGACCGAACCGACUUACGUUGAAAAGUGAGCGGAUGAACUGAGGGUAGCGGAGAAAUUCCAAUCGAACCUGGAGAUAGCUGGUUCUCUCCGAAAUAGCUUUAGGGCUAGCCUCAAGUGAUGAUUAUUGGAGGUAGAGCACUGUUUGGACGAGGGGCCCCUCUCGGGUUACCGAAUUCAGACAAACUCCGAAUGCCAAUUAAUUUAACUUGGGAGUCAGAACAUGGGUGAUAAGGUCCGUGUUCGAAAGGGAAACAGCCCAGACCACCAGCUAAGGUCCCAAAAUAUAUGUUAAGUGGAAAAGGAUGUGGCGUUGCCCAGACAACUAGGAUGUUGGCUUAGAAGCAGCCAUCAUUUAAAGAGUGCGUAAUAGCUCACUAGUCGAGUGACACUGCGCCGAAAAUGUACCGGGGCUAAACAUAUUACCGAAGCUGUGGAUUGUCCUUUGGACAAUGGUAGGAGAGCGUUCUAAGGGCGUUGAAGCAUGAUCGUAAGGACAUGUGGAGCGCUUAGAAG
Molecule: ribosomal RNA, 1286 nt
Filed under: Staphylococcus aureus
Lineage: Bacteria; Bacillati; Bacillota; Bacilli; Caryophanales; Staphylococcaceae
Description: partial 23S ribosomal RNA
Rfam family: Bacterial large subunit ribosomal RNA
Source: RNAcentral